RNAcentral lists this ribosomal RNA (475 nucleotides) under Scyllarus arctus. RNAcentral describes it as "partial 28S ribosomal RNA". The record is from RNAcentral. Lineage: Eukaryota; Metazoa; Arthropoda; Malacostraca; Decapoda; Scyllaridae.
UAAUUUGCCGACUUCCCUUACCUACAUUAAUCUAUCGACCAGRGCUUCUUACCUCGGAGACCGGCUGCGGAUAUGGGUACGCACUGGCCCGAAGUUGGUUUUGCCGACUAUAAAAAGACGACUUUACCUCAGUUACCUCCCUCGCAUGUUUCACGGGCCGGCGGUGGCGCUCGGGACGCCGCAAGAACCGCGGCGCUCUACGGCUGACCGUGUUACAAACACCCUUUCUCUCUGCGAAUGGCUUCCAGGGUCACGGCGCCUUAAACAGAAAAGAAAACUCUUUCCCGGACCACCGCCGACGGACGCGAGCUGGUUCCCGUUACCGGGGUCCUGCACAAGGCAGCGUUCCCCUGCCCACGAGUGACAAGGUUGCGUACACCUGCUAGGAAUCCGGGUCCUGGUUACGGAAUAAUGACCGUAUUCCCUUUCGCCACUAAUCCCUGGCAACUGAUUACAUACGUACAACAACUGUGUG